UUUCUCCAUCUUUAUUAAUAAUAACAAUAAAAACUUAAAAACAUUGGCAGUUAAACCUUAAAAUUAGAGGAGCUUGUCCCCAGAAUCCACUCUUUCUAUUUCAACAAUACAACCUUAGCCUGUUAAUCUCCGUUACUAGACUCCAAUCCCCCCUCAAUCCCCCCUACUCAUUUCAGGUCGAGAUGCAGCCUUAUAUUUUUCAAGAUUAGCUACAUUUAUACAACAAUAGACAUACAGUACAACCUCUAUAGAAACUGAAUUUAAUUGUAAUCAAUUUCACCAAAAACUCAUGAAACCACAGAUUUA
RNAcentral lists this ribosomal RNA (306 nucleotides) under Stygnopsis sp. DNA103882. RNAcentral's name for it is "partial 12S ribosomal RNA". Lineage: Eukaryota; Metazoa; Arthropoda; Arachnida; Opiliones; Stygnopsidae. The record is from RNAcentral.